UUAGAUACCCUAUUAUUCCUAAACUCACUAAACUUUAGGGUAGUAACUAGCUAUGUUCUUCAAACCCAAAGGAUUUGGCGGUGCCUUAACAUACCAGAGGAACCUGCCUCGUAAUCGUAACUACGCGCUAAAUCUUACCUUAAAUUAGUUUGUAUACCGUCGUCUAGGCUGGAUCCAAAGAAACUACCUCUCAAGGAAAACUGAGAUGUCAGAUCAAGGUGCAGCUUUUUAAGGUGCAAGGUUGGUUACAGUUAGCAUAAGAACUGGACGUUUAUGUGAAAUAAUAAACUAAAAUAGGAUUUGGCAGUAACGCAAAGAAAC
This 321-nucleotide ribosomal RNA is filed under the name Ligia italica. Its description in RNAcentral is "partial 12S ribosomal RNA". The record is from RNAcentral. Lineage: Eukaryota; Metazoa; Arthropoda; Malacostraca; Isopoda; Ligiidae.